CAAAGGGAGCUUGCUCCUGGAGGUUAGCGGCGAACGGGUGAGUAACACGUGGGCAACCUGCCUGUAAGACUGGGAUAACAUCGAGAAAUCGGUGCUAAUACCGGAUAAUAAAAAGAACUGCAUGGUUCUUUUUUGAAAGAUGGUUUCGGCUAUCACUUACAGAUGGGCCCGCGGCGCAUUAGCUAGUUGGUGGGGUAACGGCUCACCAAGGCGACGAUGCGUAGCCGACCUGAGAGGGUGAUCGGCCACACUGGGACUGAGACACGGCCCAGACUCCUACGGGAGGCAGCAGUAGGGAAUCUUCCGCAAUGGACGAAAGUCUGACGGAGCAACGCCGCGUGAGUGAUGAAGGUUUUCGGAUCGUAAAACUCUGUUGUUAGGGAAGAACAAGUGCCGUUCGAAAGGGCGGCACCUUGACGGUACCUAACGAGAAAGCCACGGCUAACUACGUGCCAGCAGCCGCGGUAAUACGUAGGUGGCAAGCGUUGUCCGGAAUUAUUGGGCGUAAAGCGCGCGCAGGCGGUCUCUUAAGUCUGAUGUGAAAGCCCCCGGCUCAACCGGGGAGGGUCAUUGGAAACUGGGAGACUUGAGUACAGAAGAGGAGAGUGGAAUUCCACGUGUAGCGGUGAAAUGCGUAGAGAUGUGGAGGAACACCAGUGGCGAAGGCGACUCUCUGGUCUGUAACUGACGCUGAGGCGCGAAAGCGUGGGGAGCAAACAGGAUU
Molecule: ribosomal RNA, 724 nt
Filed under: bacterium C-TJ20
Lineage: Bacteria
Description: bacterial SSU rRNA
Rfam family: Bacterial small subunit ribosomal RNA
Source: RNAcentral